RNAcentral lists this long non-coding RNA (36293 nucleotides) under Coffea arabica (coffee). Its description in RNAcentral is "long non-coding RNA (CARA_LNC001540)". The record is from RNAcentral. Lineage: Eukaryota; Viridiplantae; Streptophyta; Magnoliopsida; Gentianales; Rubiaceae.
UGCAAGGAUGUUUCUAGGCGGAUUUCUGCUGAUCAAGUUUUAAGUAAGUUGGCCUUUGCAAUAUUCUUUGUUACUGCGAAGUUUCAUCUCUUUCUUUUUCUUUUGCCUUUUUCUGCUCGCUCAGGGUUUAAUCUGGGUUCCAUCUUACGUGGUUCUGUUGAUUUUUUUUUUUUGUGGGGGGGUGGUGGUGAGGAUCUCUGGUAAUUUCUUGUGUGUUUUGCAAUCGCAAUGCUCUGUUUUUGUUUGUGUGUCUUUAGGAACAUAGGUCCAAUAUUGAUUUGGUUGGUUAAAGAAAUGAAAUUGGAUCUCUGGUAAUUUCAGUUGUUAUCUUAGCUGUUGGAUAAGAAUAGAUGUCUAAUAAGAAUUGUGUUGUAUUUUGCGUCUGCCUUGGUCUUUCCCUCAUUCUUUCCCCAAGCAAAAGUUUUUUCUGCUUAUUAGCCAUUUAAUCGUGAGUUUGAUCUAAUGUAUUUUGUGUUAAUUUCAGGACAUCCCUGGGUCAUCAGUGGAGGAGAGAUCAGAUCAAUGGCUGAUCUCACCUGAAAUCCUAAAAAGGGUGUAUCUACUAUAUAUAUAGAUAUAUAUAUAUAUCACUAUAAUAUCUCAGUACAAGUCUGAGUUCCUCUGCUGUACGUAGACCAUCUAGAGACCAUAUAUGAGAGUCUGAAAGAUGGUUGUUGGGGAAAAGAAGGAAGAAAGAACAGUCGGCCGCAUCUUUACAGCUCACAGCCAAGGAUGGAGGGCUGUUGCUUCCCAUUUUGCUUUUACUUUUCCUCAGGUGUGGAGGAGCAGAAUCUGAGGCUGUAAAUAUAUGCGGAUGGUUAUGUAUUAGUAGUAGUACUGCUGCUGAGAGUGCAGCUGUGUAGAUCAGAUGCUGAGUUUUCUUCUUUCCAUGCAACUGUGUACCCCCUUUUUCUUUUUCUUUUUUCCAGCGUAAUGGGGACUAUGAGGUUGAGGAAAUUGAAGGAACCAGCACUAAUGCUUGUCUACUGCCGUAUCUUGUUGAGCUGCACGCUGUAGAAAUGUUUUUCCUAUAAUAAAGUAGUAUCUUGAAUCUUGAAGAAAUUUCCACAUCUUUCUUUUUGAGUUUGGAAUCUUGUUGGGAGGCAAAGCAUUAGCAAAAUCCUAUGUUGAAAUUCGUGUAAACUAGUCGUAGAAUUCGGAUGGCGAAAAGAUGAGGAAAGUUCCGUGUAACUGAUGGAUGUACGGGUUGUUGUACUGAUACUUAUCAAAGUUCUCUGUGGCGCCCAUCAAGGAGAGAUCGAUGGCUUUACGUCUUUUCCUUUGUCAAUUUAGCAUAAUGGACGCCAAGGAAAACCAGUUUUUGGAUGCGGAACAAAGGAAGGAAGUUAUCUUCACGGUUUUGCUGGAAGUAUAUUACGUGCAUAUAUGCCUUUUGAGUGUUUUUGUGGACUGUGAUUCUGUUACCGUCUGAUUAAAGUUACUCCACCUUCUUGUUUUGCUUAUGUGUAAGGUGAGAAGUUGACACCGGAGAGAGAAGAGGAAUAGAGUUUAGAUUAGUUUGGCUGUCUCUCGCCCUGUAUACUAGUACUACUCAUCGACUUUCUUUGAGGACCACAAUGAUGGUUGAGUUGCACAUGCAUUGUUUUGACACUUCGAUGAAUAGUUGAGUGACACGUAUUGGUUAGCCCCAAAGGUCCCUGUGCUAUUGGUCCGUGCUCCGUAGCACAGGGAACAGAGAAAGGGAAAUUGUGGUACAUACUACUGGACCACUAACCCAAAAAAAAAAAAAAAGCCAGAGAUAGAUGGAAUGGGAAUAUGAAAUUCAAUUAAAGAGGUUUAGGAGUUUAUCCUAAAUACUACAUAACUGGCACGACAUAUCUUAUUAUUAUUAUAGGAUAUUAUAAAACGUGAGUAGGGAUUUGAAAUUAACAAAAAGUGUUAAAAUUUAUACUUUCAAAAAUAUCCUUCUAAUAUUUGUUAUUAUUUAUCUACAUCUUAUCUGAAAAACUUCCCACUUCUACCGCAACAUAACUAUUACUGCUACACUCGAUUAACUGAUUAACUAAUCCACUAACGAAAAUUGCAUCACCUCCCAAAAAUCACUUUGUUUUUUUUUUUUUCCAAAAUAUGCACGCAUAUAAUGCGUGACCCACCCGCUAGUUGUAAAGAAUUUUUACAUUCCUCUUACCAUUUGUUUUCUCGUUUUCUCAAGAACAAAGUGAAGUGAAACGAUCAACCAAAGCCAAUUUCAUAUAAUUACAAGUGUAGUUAUGAUAAAUCUCUAAUCAAUUAGAUUGCCACCCACGCCUGUAUAAUUACACGGAGGUAUCUUUCAUGUUUUCAAGCGGAUGGGAGUAAAGCCGUUUCCCCACCCUAGAACUAGAAGCUACUCGGGACAAAUGGAUAAGCACAUUAGGAUCUAGCACAAACAAUCUAAUAGGUAGCAGGUUACAGAAGAGCGGAUGGAUGACUGGGUACGCAUGAUAAUUGAUUUUUGAUAAAAGUCCAAAAAGCGAACCCCAUGUGUAAUUAGGUAAGACGUGUAGCGUUAUAAGGACGAAAGUUAGGAGUACUAUUUUAGAUCUGUGGAAUAUCAUAUCAGUUUGGUAUGUUGACAAUUGAUAGUUGCUUUUUUUUUUUUUUUUUUUGGGUGAAAACCGAAAUGGGACCCACCAAAUAGUCGACGCAAUUACUAGGUCUCAAAAUCUAAGGUGGAACGUUGAAUUAUUGAUAACGUGCGUGGUUGAUAAGUUAUCUUUCCUGCUAUCUUUUUGUUCGUUCCAUCAUGCAACAAAUUCGUAGUUUUAGAUAUUUAACUUUUGGAAUUAAAAUAUUUUGGAACCAGCAAUCAGAAAAACAAAAGUGCAACUUUCGCUGGGUUGGUUUUUGUGUUUUAGAGUAAUUUUAUAGUUAGCAGUUUUGGCUUUUUUGGAUUGCUUUUUCCUAAAUAUUUUGUAAAAAAAUUACUGUAACAAUUUGAUAUAUAUGAAGUAAAAAGGUGAUUGAAAUUGUGCUGCUGUCCAAACAAACAUAGGGAGUAGGAAAGGAAUGAACUAAUACGAGUAAAGUUGGCGAGAAAUGGACUAAAGUUCCAAAAAAUGAGGAAGAAAUCACCACCAUUUAUUAAGUGCUUGUCUUUUAGACAAAAGUACAAUUAUGAACCACCAACUCAUUAUUUUCUUUUGCAUCAAAUAACCAAUAAAUUAACCCCGUAUUUGAUUUUUCGAAGAUCACCAAUUAUUUGUUCUUCAGAGAUGCUUGCAAAACUCUCUAAUUUUCUGGAGAAACUCGCAAUUUCGCCAAAGCUAGUGUAUCAUCAAUUCCUCAUUUUUCUUCACGGGAGAAUCAUCUGGUAAAACGGCAAUACAAUAAAAGAGAGUGCAAAGGCCGCACAAAAAGAAAGAAAAAUUCUUGAUGUAGAAAGGAGAUUCCUUUUGUCUGAUGCCAAAUAUCCGCAUUUUCAGGAGGCAUGAUUUUUUUUUUGAAACAAUAGUGUCUGAUCUUCACCAACCUUCUAGAUACAUAAAAGAUUACGUUGAGCAGUUCAACUUUGAAGAUUCCACCAAAUCUACCCGCAAGAAAUAUGACAAAAAGAAAAGUAAUUUCCCAACUUGCGAUUCCUCUAAUAAGAUAAUAUAUGUGUCAAAAAAAAUCUUAAUGAGUUUCUAGAUUUGGCUGAAGAGAUUGGAUGGAAUCAGAAUUUAAGUUUAGUGAUUACCUAUGCAUUUAGUUAUCUCAGUUCUUGGUUGGGUGGCUAGUCCCUGACCAUCAAAUUACCAAACCACCUCUGCAAAAUCCAAUUUAAACCCAUACCCAUUAAAAUGAUGAGAUCUCUAAACUGUUUAAUUAAUCAUGCAGAAUUAAACUAAUACAUCAACUUCAUCGUUGCCUAAGCUGGCUGGCGCCCCUGCUUCAAAAGGCCGGCUGAUGUUUCACUCAGUUACACUGCCUCAAAUUGCAUCAGCCUUCGACUUAUAAUAAAGCAAUUCAAUUUCAAAAAAUUAUAAAUAAUAUUCGAUGUGGCCGCCCAUGACGAGCAGUCUAUUUAUUUGAUUCCAUAAUUUCCAUUUUCAAUUAGCAGUUGGGCAGUAGAAUCAAUGUAGAAGGUCUUCAGUCUUUUUAAGUCUCAAGUCUAAUGUCAAGUAUACAAGUACUUUAUUAUAAAUUUAUGAAGAGAAGCUACCAGUUUUCUUCCUUGACGAUCGAUGGGCUAUAUGGGGAACAAGUCUCGUCUUAGUUUUUCGAAAUAGUUUUGUACUCUUUCUGUCCCAUUUUGAUAGUCCUAAUUCUUUUUUUCACACAAAUUUAGAUUGCUAUUUUUUCUAAAAUACCUUUCAUUAAAUAAAGUUGACUUUUCAUAUAUCAAUAUAUUUGGGAAAAUCUAAAUGCAUUAAAUGGGGUAGGUUAUAUUCAAUACUAACAAUCUAUAUUAAAUAACAUAUAAUUUAUAGUAAUAACAACUUAUAUUGAAUAAGGGUAUUUUAGAGAAAUUAAAAAAUAACUACAUUUUUUCAAUUGGAAAGUGGAUUACAACUUGGAACAGACGAAAACGAAAAAUAGAACUAUCAAAGUGGGACGGAGGAAAUUAGUAUUUUUUUGUGAAACUAAAAAAUUCAAGUUGGAACCAAUUCCAAUGAAGGAUCUUUUACCCGAAGUCGAAAGCAUUGGGAGGAAUAUGCUUUUAGAGCAUUCCGAAAUUUUGCGUGCUUGAAAUUGAAUGAGGGAGGGAGAUCAGUGGUCCUGCAUGCAGACUUAUCGAUAAUAGCCCAGGCAACUAUCAGAAACUUUCCAAUUUCCAAAUGAGACUUUCAGGUGUGAAAGAGAGAAGAUGCAUCCUGUGAAAGGGUCAAAAGUCCAUCGUGCCAUGUGGGAUUUGGAAAGGUGUGUGUGUUGGAGUAGUGCAUAGGAUAUUGGACCAAAAUUUCUUGGCGACAGUAAAUGGACCAGGUUUUGUCAGUUAGUCAAAGGUUAUAAUUAUAGCACUCAGAUAAGCGAACUCGAUUAUUGAAGUUCACUGGCAGUUUGCUUAUGGCCAUUGGUCAAGAUAAGAUAAGUUCAAAUACUCCUGCCUCGUUUGAAGAAAAAUUUUUAUAAUCUCUGUGAAUAUUCUUUUUAUAUAAUUUUUAAUUACUUUUUAUCUUACAUAUAUUAUACUAUAAAAAAUAUUUUAAUAAAUUUUUAUUAUGUAAAAAUAAUAUUUAUAAAAAAUAUAAAAAUUUUGUUGAAGCAAUACUCACGUCAUAAAAAAGUGAUACAGUAACUUUUGAAAGUAUCUAACGCCUGCUUUUGGCCAUGGAAUUCGUGCGUCAUCAUGUCUUUGAUCGGCAAGAAAAAAAACACUCAAUACACCCGACCCGACAGAUUGAUAUAAUGGUCAAAUGAGGGCACAUUUCCUAGUAUUUCACAGCUAAGAAAAAUUUGGAGACAUGAUCUGGGGUUCAAAGUUUUGACCAUCAUGCUAAUUGAUCUCAUCUCUAAUUGGGGAACAGAAAAUCAACUAGAUAAGUAGCAUCGCGAGAAAAUGUAGACGAACGAUCACACUAGUACAGCAUUUCUUAAUUUCCUCGAGACCUGCUUAAAGAAAAGAAAAGUCACUUAUGGAGUAGAGAUUCCUUUUGUCUAUGGGGCUUUGUUUGAAUUGCAUUUUUUUAGAUUUUUUGUAAAAAAAUUACUGUAACGAUUUGAUAUAUGUGAGGUAAAAAAGUAAUUGAAAAAUGUGUACACGAAAAAUUUUCUGAUUUUUGUCAUUUUGUCGACAGCUUGGUCAUCUUAAAUGAAGAAUCCGUCAAAUAACUUGUCUUCUUCUAGUUCUAGAUGUUUCAGUUUCUGGAGGCCGGUUUAAAAAAUUUUUACUCAUUUAAAUAUUUUUUUUAAGCAAUACAUUGGUCCUUUGAUGGAUAAUUUUGUCCUUACCUUUAUGUUGUUUCCCUAUAUCCCCCCCCCCCUUUUUUAAAUUGCGUUCAACUUGUCAAAUUUGAUGCAUAUUCACUUUUCCAUUUUUGAUCUACCUGUUGCACUCGUGACAUUAAAACGAGAAAGAAAAUUCUUUAGGUCAUUUAUAAAAUAUGAGUGUCACAAAUAAAGCAUGUUUUAAAUGGUUCUGGACUUGACCUCAAUUGAGGUCCAUAGUUUCUUACCCAAAGAAAAUGAAGAAACUUAGCAGCCCAUAAAUUCUUAUCGUUUGAUUAGUACGUAGAUACUUCAACUUUCUCCUUGGGAAUUUAAAUUUAACUGAAAAAGCAAAAGUAUGAGGGAAGUCAAAACAGUUGAGAGAGUUGAAAGCCAACGCUGUCAUGUUUGACCAGGAGAAAAGUCGUCCCGCUUAUACAAAGUCCCAGCGGGUUUAAAUUAUAAGCUCUGCAAGCCUCCAAAUUAUAAACGGAACUACUGAUUUAGCGCGCAUCUGAAUCACGUGCUUUGCUCGGAAUCAAUCAGCUUAGCAUCUUCAUCGUUUUAUUCUUUUCCUAUUUUGUUUUCCCUUUUUUUUUUUUUGGUCUGUUUCGUUGUUUCUACGAUGUUUAAAUGAGAAUCACAUAGGGCGGCAUUCCGAGCUUGUUUGUGCGAUUCAAAAACUGCGGCUGAGUUAUGAAAGAUUUAGCCGAAAACGGUUUUAGUAUUAUAUGGCCCAAACUUUCCACCCAAAUUAAUCAAACAGUGCGAUUGCUACUGGGAUCACAAAAAACUAGAUGGCCCAUACGUCUCAAAACCGUAGAAUGAUUGAAAGAUUUGAAGGACCUGAACACUGCUGAACGUUCUUCCUCCAUUUUCAGCAAAUGCCCAAAACUUACACAGGAGGUCAAAUAUUCAGUGCCUUGCGAAGCUGUUAGCAGGUAGGUAGAAUGUAGGUACCGUUUUGUUUUUCCCCCUACGAUAAGCAGAUGACUCGGGGAAUGCAACAUUAGGAAGAAGCAGAACAAACUGUGACAAGAAUCCCUGCGCUGUUAUUGGUGGGCACAUAAUUUUGACACAUUUUUGAUAGGUGCGUGGAAGUUACUGCAGUAUACAGAGGAAAAGGAUGAGAAUACAUCCUCGACAGCCAACAUACACGGGGGAAAAAAUUACUCUUGUAUUCCUUGUGGGAGGAUAUAGUCUCAAUUUUUACAAUUUUGUCAUGGUACAAUGAAACAAAAUGCAUCUUCAAUUUCUAGCAGAUAGCCAUCUUGCUGGGGUGACCAUGCAUGCAAUUCAAAGUACUGCCACUUGAUGAUUUGGAACUGGAACUCAAAUUGCACCAAGGAAAGGCUGCAAGCAAGUAGAUUAUCAAGAAUGAGCAAAGUCCAAAAGUAUGGUACAGCAUGCUAGAACAGCCUGCAGCUACUGCAUACAAUCCAGGAAGGUUCUAAUUCAACAGAUUUUCAUCUUAACAUAACAGUACGUUCAUAUAGGUGAAGAUUCUACUAUUGUACACUCAUAGCAUAUUCUACCGAAAAGCAGGACAGAAGAAUAUAAGAGAGAGAGAGAGAGAGAGUGUUCUAAUCAAAGUACAAUGUAUUGAAAUUGCCUAAUUUAUUUUGCUGCAAACAGUUUUUCUCUGAAUUGUCAGAUGAAUCACACAACUAGGAAACGAGUUUUCUCCACAAAUAUAGAUCCAUUUGAAUCCUAAUAUCUAUGACUUAUGCCGCACGUUACAUUUCAAUUCUGCUCAUGAAAAGGGCGGCAACUGCUUAUUAGGCAAUAUAAUAUCUCAAACUUCAUGACAGCAAAUGGGCAGCCUCCUUAGAUACCAUACAACUAACUGCAACAAGAACGUCUUUACUCUAAUUCAGGCAACUUUUUUCCCCAUUCGGGUCAAAGUAAGUACUUAAUUGUUAACUCCAGAGCCAUAAAUCACAGGAACCACAUGAAUUUGGGACACUGUAAAAGCCAUUAAAUACUUUUCGAGGUGCAUCUUACCUCAGAGCAAGGAAUGCACAGGGAAAAUCUUGUCUGGGACCAUAUACAGAAUACAAAAGGCAUAAUAUAAAAAAAAAAAAAUCAUUGUUGCAUAACCUCAUUUGUCUGCUUAGCAAAAAAAAAAAAAACCACCUUUAUAAUGCAUUAAUAUCUUGUUUCAUUACAAUACACAAUAGAUGCCUAAAGACUAGCUACCACAGCACAUUCAUGCUCCCUAUUGUGACUUUCAAAUCCUAAUAACACCAUUUAGAUGAGUCAAGACUGAGAACUGGAGACUUUUCUGCAAUGAUAACUUUAGAAUAAUCUAAGUAUGGCACAUUUAUGCGGUCAAAAAAUGUUUUCAAGCAUCAAAACAAUUUCAAAUGAGUGUGACGGAUUGUGACUAUCUGACCUUUGCAGUAUGCACCAGAAUAAUCUUUGAUUUAUUUUAGGGGGUAACCAACCACAGCUCACUAUGGUGAACUCCAGUGUUUUGAGAGGUGUUAAUAAGGCAUGUCUUUGGGCUCGCCCCAGGCCAGGGCGCAUGUGAACCGCCCUGGGGCAGUGGAAGGAGGCAGAUGAGCUGUUGGGCAUACGCCCCAACUGAUGGGGCAAAGGCCUUAGUGUGCUGGGUGCCUUUUUUGUGCCUCCAAAGAAGAAGGGGUAUGCCUUUUGAUAUUGUUCUGUAGUUCCUGUAAUUCUUUUUUCUUUUUUAACUUUUAAACCAAUUAAGGGAUAAAUAUACAUAUUCCUCGUACGGCACACAACAGAUUACAGAGAGCCUUGUCUGGUUUGAUCUCUAAAUUUUAAUCCCCUCCAACAAUCCCUAAUUCCUCUUCAUUCACUGCUCGAUCCCUCUUGAAUAUAUUUUCAUCAAGUCAACCAAAGCCUCUUCACCCCAAAUUUGCAGCACAGCCCCUUUAUCACCACCACUGCUCGUCUUCUACUACUUCACAACCCGGGGACAAAAUGAAGAAAGUCUAUAUUGCUUUUUUGCUCUCUUUUAAUCUUCUGAAUGAAAGUUUCUACUUCGCUUUUUUUUUGGGCAAAACUUGGAUGACUAAAGGUAUUACUGCUCUUAAUGAAUUGUGGGCCAAUUGGUUAUGCAGUGUCAACUGUAAAGAGAGAAUUAAAAAGCUUCAAAUCAGCUGCUUAUAUGGUGCUGAAUUAUAAUCCACUAUUGUUUGUGUAUUUUAACUUUUUUGUUUAAUAUUCAUUUACUCCUUUGGAAGACAUUGUUUGGACUUACAUAUCAUUUAUUUGUAUUAUUUGUAGAAAUUUUAAUAAUAUUUUUUGGGUAGUUUUCAUAUUUUUCUAAUAUUAAAAAAUCAAAAUUUGUGGGGCUUACACCUCACACCUCAAGGCUUUUGCCUUGUCUGAGUGGGGACAAUACACCUAGCCCAACACUGUCGCCUUUUAAAACACUGGUAAACUCAACCCACCAGAAAAAUUGGAAGUCCAAACUAAGGGGGAGCUAAUUCAGAGAACCUAUGACUAUGAGCCAUAAACAUCAGCUCAACAAUCUUGAAACCAUUCACCAGUCAGAGUGCUACAAAACUAAUAAGAAGAAGCAUUCUACUUUCAAAGAUCUAAGACCAUACUUAUUACUGGGAAAUCAGAUGACUCGUGAACAAAAUUUAGUUUAGACGACUUAAAAUUGUAGGUGCAAACUAGAGGUGUCAAAAUGGGUGAUUUGGACAGGUUUGGAUUGGGUAAAAUGGGUAAUGGGUAUAAGUGAGUCAACCCAUUUAUACCCAUCUAAUUAAAUGGGUAUAAAUGGAUAAGUCAAAAAAUGAAUUGGGUAACCUAAUUAUCCAUUUAUAACCCAUUUAUUUUAACUUUUUGUAAAUUCAUUUUUGCAAACUAAGUUAUCAAUUUAUACCAUUCUUUGCACCCGUCAUUGGUUUUAAAUAUUUAUUUAUAAUGCUCAAUAAACCUAAUAUCAAUUUUUUUCCCAUAUGUACUCUAUGUUGCAAAAUUACAUACUAUUUAACAAUUAAACAAUAAGAAUAUAAAAAUUUGAACUAAGUACUAUAAAAGUUAACAUAAAAACUUAAUCCAAAAAUUUUGAACCUCUAGCAUUUUUUCGUAUGUAAAUUUAAAAUUUCAUUUUAAAAUAAGAAAAGAGGCUAAAACUUGUCAUAAAUUGAUAAUGGUGAAAAAUGAGCAAGUUAAUGGGUGGGGAAAGAGAGGAGGUUUGGGGGAAGACAAUUCUAAAUGGGUUAAUUGCGUUUGAUGGGUUACCCAAUAAUACCCAUUUAUUAAAUGAGUAUUAUUGGGUAACCCAAUAAUACCCAUUUAUUGGGUAACCCAUUUAUACCCAUAUGCAAAAAUUUAACAUACCCAUACCCAUUUAUUCAUGGGCGGGUAUGGGUAAACUUAGUUAAAUGGGUUUGUUUGACAGCUAUAGCGCAAACCACCGAGAGUUUAAGAAGUUAUUUCUGAAAUAAAUAUGUAUGUGGUAAAUUCAAGCCUAAUUUCACAAAUAAGUGUGAAAUCAUAUAGAGGAGUUGAGAGGUUGUAAAAUCCUCUUUACUUAAUUGCUAUCUUUUGGCUGAUGCCGUGGUGCAGUCAAGAAGGGGAAAAGUUUUCCAUUUCAAAUACCUUAGCUCCUGGUGUUCCAGGUUUAGUUGUGGUUGUACUGCCAAACGCGUUACUGGGCUUGGCUGAUGUUGUACUCCCAAAAUUGAAUCUUGAUUUCUUUUCCGCAGGUUUUAGUAUUUGAAAGGAGCACAUGAGAGUCUCAUCUACACUCAUCAUGGCACCUGCAUUGUCAAACUCUCCACAGUAAUUAGGGGCUGAAAAAAUGGUUACAAGCUGCCGGUUUGCAAAGAACUCAUAACCAUCUUCUACAACCUGCAAAUGUUUUGAGAAAAGAAGAAAAGAUCACCAAUUUAGUCCUCCGACACGUGUCAGCCAAAUAAUGUCAAAGUUAUCCAUUAUGUGCCCUUGCUGAGACAAUGUUAGGCUUCAUUGGGCUCAAAUGCUACAUAUUUUCUCAUACUGCUUAAAUAGAAUGGCAAAGAUGCACACAACUAACAAGUUACAACUAUCGAGAGUGGGCAAUACAACAAGGAAAUCCUAUGUUUCCAUCACAAAACAGACAACAAAUUCCAGAUGCUUUUACAAGAAAAUGAGGUCAUAGCCUUCAAUAAUGGCCAAAUUGAAGUACAAAUGUGGUAAGGUGGCAUUCGAAGAGAACACAAAGAAGAAAGAAAAUGUCUAGUUUGUACUCAGAUUAUAAACCAUGGCAAAGUUUCCAUCUUCAAUGUAGCAAUGGCGUGUCACACAUGUAUAUUAUUCUGAACAUUUUCAUAAAUAUCAUACAUAAUGAAAUCACUUUUUGCAAUUCUUUUAAACUGUUUACUGGCUUCCAUUUUGUUGGGGGGGGGGGGGGGGGGGGGGGGGGAAGGUGGGGAAUAUAUGAAUGUGAAUAGUAUAAAGGAAAGUAUUAGUCAGAUUAACUUCAAAAUCAUUUUCUGUUUCAAUAUAUAAUGCUUAUGGGGCUAUUGAACCAGCUCAUGAGAGAUGAACUGCAUUGCCUCCAGUCUCUACCUUCUCAAACACUAGCUUAGAUAUGCUAAAAACAAACAAAGCAUGAAAAUUAGCUUCUGUAGAAAUCACAUGCUCUCCAAGCAAGAAAUGGAAACAAACACAAAGUUAUAAGUGCUACUGUCCAAGGGAGAUUAACAGAGAAAAAAGGUAUAUAUGUGAAUUCCAAUAAAUCAGCAUAACAGUUCAAACCUGGUGAGCACGGCAAACAAGAUCUAAAUCUUGCUUUUCCAAAAACUCUGUCACCUUAUCAGCGCCAAAAGUGUAUGAAACUCCCCGGUCAUUCAUCCCCCAUCCUUGAACAUCAUUACUGGGAUCUGACCAGAGAAGAUCGCAUAGCAAGCCUGCAUCUGGUACAUCAGUUGGUCGUUGCAAGUUCCUUAUCUGAUCCAAAUUUUGAAGAUCAGGAGAAAGGCCUCCAUGCAUGCAGAGAAUCUUCUCAUCAAUCAGGGCUGCCACUGGUAGACAGUUAAAACAUUCUGAGAAAACCCUCCAUAUUUUAACAUUAAAUCUUCUUUUGCAUUCAUCAUAAAACCCAUAUAUACGGUUUAUAGAAGCACACUCGUGGUUUCCUCUUAACAAGAAAAAGUUUUCUGGAUAUUUUAUCUUGUAAGCAAGUAGCAGGCAUAUCGUCUCCAGACUUUGCUUGCCACGAUCUACAUAAUCACCCAAAAACAAGUAAUUUGCUUCCGGAGGCAAGCCACCAUAUUCAAAAAGCCUCAAGAGAUCAGAAUAUUGACCAUGAAUAUCACCUAAAUGCCAACAAGAAAAUCAGAAUCAGAAAGAUAUUCCUCAAGAAAAAACCAGGUCCAAUAUAUCACACGGAUAUCAGUGGCAAACUAUACUUGCAUUGCAAGUCAUAGAAUUCUCAUCCUACAUCAAAUUUAAACUUAGCAAUCAUAGCCACAUCAGUAUAUCUCUGGGGCAUAGGAAGAUCAUAGCCAUAAUGGAUGAGCACCAGACAACAAGCUAAGGAAAUAAAAGCAAAUUUUACCAAGCAUAUACAGCAAAGUAGUAGUUAGUUACACUCAUAAUGUCACAUUCCCUUCUUCCUAUGCGCUAACAGUUGCUACUUGCCUUGCAAAGCUAUGCAAACAAAGGAAACAUGAACAAGUUCAUUUCUAUGUCUCAAUCCACAAUAACUGGUCUUCAAUGAAAGUGUAAUACGAUGAUGAUAAACAAAAGAAAAGAUUAUCCCAAAUUUGUUAAAACCACAAAAUUGUAACUCUAAGGCUUGAAAACAAGUGUUGAUGCUUCCACACGAAAACUUAACAACUAUAUGCAGCAUAUCUAAUUUGAGAUCUGAGAACUUGGUACAGCCAAACAUACUUGACCCAGGGAGAUGGAUUCAUGUUGUUCUGACAUGCAUAUCCAAUUGACACAGAGACACUAAUUAAUGUCUCAAGGACUGCUUAUUGUCAGAAUUUAAUGCUAAUAACUCUAAAUAUACAAACACUGUGAGGGCUGUUUGUAGCAAUGGGCAUGGGGACAAAGCAGAAAAUAUGCUGCAUAGUGAACUAAUAAGAUUUAUAGCAUUUUAUAUUUGCACAUUUUGAUGGUAAUCUCAUAUAUUUUUAACAGUAAAUCCUUUAUAAAGUCUACCGCAGCCAUAAAACAGUAGUAUGUACUUCUUAAUUCAUUUAACAAUGCCAACAAUGUGCCCAUAAGACAAGGAGCGGCAGCUUCUUGGCCUUCAGGAAAGUCCAUGCAAGUAUGUUGGUGUCACCUACAACUUAUGAUAAUUCCCAUUGACCGAGUAGUGAGCAAGGUGAACUUGGCUUCAGCUUACCCCAAUAAAAUUUUCAAGACAGAACUCAUGCUGAUAUAUAUCAAACCAAUUUGCGUGGGCACAAAAAUGUAGCAAAUAAAAGGUUCCUUUCCUGAUGCAAGAAUGGCCAGGUGAUUCCUAAAGAUUUGAGGUGCCAUGGAAAAAAAUUGAACACUUUGCACUCUAACUUGGCUUCAUCACAUCACUUCAACACAUAAUCUUAUACAAAUUUUGAAUCCUGAUGCAAGAAAUAACAUAAAUUCCUCUUCUUGCUCAUAAGAUGGAUGGCAAAUUAUUUACUUUGCACUCAAGGCAAUGUAUCAAGCUCCACUUCACCAGACGCUCAUACAGCACGCAAAGAAAAGUUAAAAGUUCUCAAAACCAGUAAACAAGGAUGCACCCUCCCUGUCAGUAACUAGCUAGAGCAUAAGCAGCACCGCAAAAAUUUUAACAGUAAAGUACAAUAACUAGCAUCACCAAGUCCCACACUGCAUCCAUGUUUCUUAAUCUUUUCCGGUUAAUUGGUUAUAAAGAUCCAAGACAAACAGAACAGACAUGAAAUGCAAGGAACAACAACCCAAAUUUGUCACAAAGCUAAACGCAAAAAAACAAAUUUAUCCUCCCAAUCCCCCCCCCCCCAACAACUUCCCUCCACCAAAAAAAAAAAAAAACUGAACAACCCUAACCUAAAUUCUUCAACCAGAAGAUAGAAUUCGGGAUACCUUUGAAGGAUUUUAUAACAAACACCUUAUUCAUGGCCCAGAAAGUCAACCCAACAGACAUGAAAAAAUGCAAAUGAAAGACAAAGAAGCAAGUCAAAUACAAAGUGGGAUGCAAUCAAAAUAAUCGAAAGGGUCCAUAAAAGAGGAUAACCAAACCAGAGAAAGUGAAAGAGGGAAAAAAGGAAUUGAUACCACAAAUCUUAAUGGGUGCUUCAAGCUCUAAAAGAUUAGGCUGUUGCAAGAAAAUAUCUUUGGAAACCAGACACAACUGUUUGAUCUCGGCCUCAGAGAGCUGCACCUGCUUCCCUGGCCUUCCUCUGACUUCCAGCAGCCUCCUUAUUAUAUCAUCUAAUAGCUUUUCAUCCAUUUUUUCUUUCAACAAAUUCUCAACCUUCUUUGUUCUCUCUUUCAAUUUUCUCUAUAUUUACAUGAAAGCUGUUCUUAUUUUAGUGGUGGGGGAGUGAAGAAAGAAUCUGGAAAGUGGGUUGUUGAUGAUGGGUUUUGAGGUCUGUUUGCGAAUAUUGGAUUACGGAGGAGUGAGGGAAACCAAUUAAGGUGAUUUAACUGAUUUGUGGGUCGCGUUGGACUCCAGUGAAAGAGAGGAUGUUUCUGGGUUGUCGUUUUGUGUUGGUAGGAUCUGUCGUUUUGGUGAAAUUUUCGAAAUACAUAUUCUUUGCUUUUUGAAGUAGAUUUUCAAUGCUCAGAGUUUAGAAAGUUUCCUCGGAAACGGUUGGGCGACAGGAAUCUAGAAAGGAAGAGCGAAUUCUGGAAGGAACAAAUAUCUGAUGAGUCGUUCCGGUUUAUCAAUGGGCUAUAACCGAAGAGGCCCAUAGGCUAAGGUGCACUGGGCUGCUGUAUAACUUUCGAUCUUGUGUUGUGGGUUGGGAGUCCGUAGGACACUUGCGAAAUCCUAAAUCAAAUGGUUCAUUCCAAUUAUGUCUCCAAAGUCCCGUACAUUUAAAAUCCAAUUCAGCAUUUAAAUUUAAUGAAUAAAAAUCUUAAUAUGUUCAAAUGUGUUUGAUAAUUAAAAAUUAAAAAUUAAAAAUAAUUAAAUGACACUGAAUUUUCUAGUCAAAAGUUGCUUAAAAAAUAAGUGAUAAGUUAUUCACUUAUCAUUGAAUGUGGUAUACACUCAAAUGUAUAAUCCAAUUCAACAUUUAAAUUUAAUGAACUCAGAUCUUAAUAUGUUCAAACGUGUUUGAUAAUUAAAAAUUGAACAUCUAAAUUAAUUAAAUGACACUGAACUUUUUAGUCAAAAGUUGCUAUAAAAAAUAAGCUUAUCACUGAAUGUGAUAUACACUCAAAUGUAUUUGAUUUAAUACUUAAUAAUUCAAUAACUUAAUGGAUUCAGACUUCAGAUUUCAAUUUAAUCAAACGCACCCUAACUAAAUGAUCCUGAAAUUUGAUAUCGCUCAUCGCUCUAUUGUUCUUGUUCUGAAAUCUCUCAUGAAUUAAAAAGUUAAUAUUAAUCAAUAAUCAUGAUAAAUAUAUUAACUUAAUCAUCAUCAUCAUCAUCAUGAGGUCUUGAUUUACCAUCAAAAUCUUUCCUUUCUCGAUAUUCCGUGUAAGUCUUAGAGUAAAGUAUCCCUGGACAAAAAUGAUUUGUUUUAUAUAAAGCUUAGAGUCUCUCUUCAACUUGUUUAUCACAAAGAAAAUAAUUGACAUCUACCGUCAAAGAUUUAUAUGCUUUUUGCGUCAAAUUGUGUUUAGCAUGGAUUGGCAGAUUUCUGGAAACGCGUGAGUCCAUGUUGCAAUGGGUACUAAGUAAAUAUUAAACUCGGGUGUACAAAAAAGUAUAAAAAUUCUAAUAAAUUUUAACGUGUUAUCCAAUGAAAUCACACAACACGUUCCCUCAAUCUGGCCUUCAUCCAAUGGAGAUCCAUAAUAAUUAGACACCUAACAGUUUUUCAAUUAAAUUCGAUCAUGAUUGAGUCAGAUUAAUACCAACCUAUUCCGUUCUAGGUAAGAUGGUAUAACUGCAAAUGUGUUUUGGUUCUACUGUUUAGUUUAAAAACUUUGACUCUUGUGCUGCUGUAGUACUAUACUUUUAGAAGGAACGGAACCACAGUUGAGUUAGCCCAAGCGUGAGCUUACGCAUUUUCUAUUUGGUUGAAAAAUAAGAGAGAGAGAGAGAGAGAGACUCUGACUUUGACGUCGACUCUGAGUAAACCAGUUGUAGUGUGCCAAAAAAAAGCUUGAAAACAUACGGUAUAUUCUUUCCUUCUUCUCCAACAGCCAGCAGCCGUGGCUGGUAACUAGUGGAGGAAAAACUACCGUCCGCAUUGGAAAAGUUUCUGCCUGCGAUGAAAGCAGUUUAUUGCCACUUGAUCAGUUUCUUGUUGAUUCAAGAAAUACUGUUGCUGCUUCAACUCCGGUAUGUAGCUAAUGGCAUGGAAGCAAGACGAGCGCCCUUCUCUCCCUUGGCUUAUGCUUCGUAUGGCCGUCUGUCUCAUGGCGGAUUAAAGGUGGAUCAGGAAGAACCAGUUAGGAUAUUGAGAGUUCUUCCCAGACCGCCACCUCCAAAGCUCAAUGUCCCUUCUCACUGGGGCGUCGCACCAAGCAGUCUUUCUCCACCACCGCCAACACCGUCAUUGCAACCAGCUGCAGCGCCAGGCCCACCACCACCGUCGUGAAUUCGUCAUACCAUAACGUUUGGCCCGCUUGGCAAAUUCAUCAGAUCAUGUUUGUGUCCAUGUCUUAGCUGGAAUCCAAAUUUAAUCACCUUGUAUUAAAUGAUCCUCUCGUUUUAUAUAUAUAUAUAUUUUAAUGAGCUUCUAAUUUGUGUUAUUGCUCUUUCCGUUUCUGUGGAUUUUGGACUUUCCCUCAUCAAUGUCCACAUGUUAUUCCUCAUAGAAAAAAUUUGGGCCAAGAAUCAGGAUCUGUGUGCUGUUACAUCAUUUCUGACUAGCUAAACAAAAAUAAGCGGAAUGGUAAUGGCAGUUAGUAUAACAUACAAAGGACAUAUAUAUAUAUACGUGCAAAUUUAUGCGAUAGAGUAACACAGUAACACGACACACCAGUUGACGAUUGUUGGUUAGCUCCACUUGCCCGGAGUAGUUGUUCAAAUAUUUAUUAAUAAUCCACUUGCCCCGCGUAGCUCUCAUCUCAGCUUUCAUGUACGCAGGCUCUACCAAAUUUUCCGUCCCUGUUCUUAAAUACCACUCUUCUCUUACCAAAAAGAAUUCGAAUGCAUGCAUGUGGGCGCCAUAUCAUUUAUUGAUCACGAAUAACUUGACACAGUGUCAAAUAGUAGUAGUAACUAAUUGACAUCACGUCCUUCUACUUGGCUUGCGGAUGCAGCACUAAAUUUCUUGCAUAUAAACUUGAUUAAAAUUGGAAGGGAGGGUUGAGAUCAAGCGUCAAAUGGUAACAAUUGCUCUACUCGUGAAAGAGAAAAUGAAUGCAGAUGAGUACUAGAUCUCGUAAAUUCAGUCCAACCUCCAUCAUUUAGGCAUUUACUGCUACAUACAGAAUAGUAGUUUCUUUUUUGUCCCCUGACCAUCUGCACUCGAGCAUGCAUUUAUCCACAGGGCGACCAGUCCAAUGCGGUUCCGAAUUCCCAAUCUUUUCUCCUAGCUAAAAUGGUGAACCCUGUCUGGCUCUGAACCGCAAGCUCGCAUUGCAAAUGAGACGGAAAACUUGUAUCCAAAAGGUUCGAGCUAUGAAAGCAAUUUAUUCGUCCUUGCUUGUUUUGCUGUUGAUCCCUUGUCUGAUGUUGCUUCAACAACUUGGGCAUAAGGCCUCUUUUGCCAUGGCAACAAGACACCAAGCCUUAUCAGCUUUGACUUCUCCUACGGGUGCAGCAGCUUCUUCCCAUCGUGCCCAUCUGUCCUACGAAUUGCAGGCAGUGCCAAAGAGGAUAAUGAGAGGGCUUCACAGGCCCCGGACCCGGCCCCCACCUCCAAAUAUCAAUCACCCUACUCAUUUUCGCCGUUCCAUGCCAUAUCCACCUCUAGAACCACCACCACCAUCAUUUGCACCACCGCCACCACCUCCAGGUCCAGGCUGUCCAGCUACGGGAUGAUGAAUAAUGUGUGGGAUGCUUGUAUAAUUGUGUCUGGUAAGAAAUGUACAUGCGUGUUUGAACUUUGAAAAGAUGUACUACUACUAUCAGAGAUUUUAAAUUUUAGACUACCUAUUCAGAUUCUUUGUCAUCUUCUAGUAUUUCCAUUGUCGUGAAUUUUCCUUUUAUUCUGGGAAGGAUUUUCAAAUUCAUAAAUAUUCAAAUCUGUUGUCGCCUGUAAGUUGUGUCCACUCAUCGACCGCCGUUAGUCAACCGUGAUUUACCACCAUUAGGUUCACUUUCAUAAGAUCUUUCUAUUUCCAGCCAAUUCAUGCUGGGAUAUUAAUCAGUAGUAGGAGUAAAAUUUUGCUUUUAACCUUGACUUUUACAUAGGUGGAGGGAGAUUUUAUCUUAGGAGGGGUGGAAGGCCAUUUUACCCUUUUCAGACACCCAAAGAAAAAUGGUACUUUAAUGGAAAAAUGGUACAUUAGGUUCACUUUCAUAUUGAUCAUAUAUAUAAUUGUGUUUGGAUUGCAUUUUCCGUGAUUUUUUAUGGAAAAAUUACUGUAGCGAUUUGAUGUAUGUGAGGGAAAAAGGUAAUAGGAAAAUGUGAUCACGGAAAACGACGUAAUUUUUCGACGGAAACCGGCAAUCCAAACAAGGCAGCACCCACUUUCUUUAUUAUUCCGUAAUUUUGAUGAAAUGUGAGAAACUGAUCCGAUCCCACGAGAGAGUACGUGAGAUUUAGUUCUUCAAUUUUACAUGAAAAGUUAAAAAUAGAGAAUUAACUAAGUUCUCGUGCACUCUCUACUGUUAGUCUGACUGGUUUCAUAGUCUGAUAGUUAUAAGCAGGUCUCGUGAUUAAUUUUUAUAUACAGCUUCAUUAUAUAUCUCUGGCAUAAGAUUUUACACAAUUUUAAAAAAUUAGUCUGAUAAAAAGGCGGAGAUGCCUUGAGUGAAAAAAAAAAAACUAAGCUCACAUACUGUGAACAUUCUUUAGCCUUUUACGUGUCACAUUGUUGAGACUUGAAACGAGAAUAGAUUUGAGAUUCAUAUGCAUAUGGAUUGGCUGGAGGUCCAAUCCGAUGUUGACCUUAGUGCCACAUCUGUUCCUAUCAAAAUUGGCGUAGCUGAAUUUGACGUCGAGGUAAAGGCUCUUAAUCUCUAUGUUUUCAGAACCAGACCGGAUAUCGCCUCGGUCAAAUUCAGGGGUCAGAGGUCAGUGGAUUCAAUCGGAUUCGAUAGGGGUUGAACCGGAUGACGUCAUAAAUAAAAUUAUUUAAAAAUUAAAAUAUUAUAUGUAAAAUACCUAAUAACAUGUAAAUAUUAAUAAAUGUAUAUUCAUAUAUAUUUGAUUGUUUAAAUAUAUUUAACAAGAAAAUACAAAGAAAUUAGAACAAUCAAAUAACAAUUUAUAUUAUUUAAUGAGCAUUAACAAGUUUAGAAUUAAAAUUAUGGAUUUAAUUGAAAAAUAAUACCAAACUUUAAGAAAAUAUUGAUAAAGUAUGAAAUAUUUGAGGUAUAUUAAUAAUUUUUAACAAUCUAGGAGUCAAAACAUAAUAUUGAAAAAUUUUGAGUUUUUCUUUAAAUGUUGUUUGAACCGAAAAAUCCGGUUUUUUUCGGUUAAACCCAGUCAAACCCGAUUUUUGACCGAAUUUUUACUUACCCGAUUUUUAAGCAUGAUUCGGACCGAAUACUUGACCGAUUUUCGAUUCAACCGAUCGAACUGACUGGUCAGGCCGAAUUUUAAAACACAGCUUAAUCUUACCACCUGUCCACCACCACCAACCCACCAUUAAAUCAGCAGACUGUAAUUUUUUUUUGUUUGCUAAUAGUUCCACUGUAUAAAAUGCUAUAGGACUCAGGAUAGCUAUCUAAUUAGAAGUUAGAAGAACAGGUUCAAAAAUGAAGAUCACACUUGUGUCUUCGAUAACUUUCCUUCCUUUUGAUCUAUGAACUGGCUAUGCUACAGGGCUCCCCCGUGGCCGCGGUGUCUAUAAGAGAUCCACCUCCGCCGCCAUCAAACCCCAAAGCCCGGUAAUCCUAGUCGUCCUUUUAUACCUGCUCAUCACUCGCAGGCACCGCCGCCACCACAUUUUUCUUAGUUACUUAGAGUUAUGUGUGUGAAAAUAUUAUUCAUUUUUUUAUGAAUGCCUUUGUCAUACUAUCAUUGGUGGCUUCACAAUUGUACUUCACAAAAUGUAAAUGAAUUAAACAAUAUUUUGUUUGGAGUUUGGACCAUUAAGGUAUUAACCAUCCCCGCAAAUGGUCCAGAACACGUACAGCAUGCGAAUUUAGUGUUGCACCUGUAGAAGUAUGAACCCAUUAAUUGGUUAGUUAAUUGGAUGUUGACGCUGGGGAAAAAAAAUAGAGUGAUUCUUGGCCUUCCUACAGCCUUCUUCAAGACUCCCAACCAACCAAAAAUCAUAAGCUAAAAUCUUGGUUGACAAGCUUGAUCAUGAAGUGAAUCCUUGAUCUUUUCCUUCUUGAAAUAUUGUUCAACUUGCUGUUUUCGGACAGGUUCAAGAUGAAGACAGCUGAUACUAGUAUGUCUCAUGAUCAUGUACGACGUGGCAGGCUUAGACAGUGGAUACACAGGCAUUGCUUCUGCAAUUGCCGGGGCAAUAUUACCUCCUCAAGUAGGUGUUUCGGCUAUGCCUAGUAGAGCUCCAUCACCACCCCCCAAGAGCCGUGAUCCUACUCAUCCUUUCAUAUCUUCUAAUUGCCCACCACCGGUACUACCACCUUGCUAGUUGCCAGAGCUUUGAGCUAUCUAUCUUGAAAUCUCAACCUUCACAUCUGCCAUAUCAAAUUCUCGACCUUUCAGUUUCACUACCUAAUUACCAUUUGUCGUCUUCUUCUACAUGUCAAAGUCUGAGCAGUUGUAACAUUACCAUUAUCUCUACUUUUUUUUUUCUAACAUUUUCUUACGAAAGUAAGAAGUCGUUAACUAAGCGGAGUCCUUGAACAAUCUUCAAAAGCCGGCAACUCUUGAAGACGUCCAAGGCACUUAACUACCCAACCCAUUACCCCCCAGUACCGAUGUGGGAUAGAAACCCCGACAAGGGCAAGCCCAGUAGGGCAGCAUUGAACACUAAAGAGCACCCUUACCAACCCCAGAAGACGCCCCAUAAAGAGUUUCUUUCUAACAUUUUCUUACGAAAGUAAGAAGUCGUUAACUAAGCGGAGUCCUUGUCAUUAUCUCUAUUUAGUACUUGCAUUAUGUGUUGAAUGCGUCAGAGUUUCCUAGCGGCUUCCCACCUACCAUGUCAGACGAAUUAGAAUAGUAUUUAUCAAUGCUAACCGCUUUACUGGUCUGGCAACCAACCGACAUAUGAUACGAGGCAACGCUUUCUUCUUCGGACUCACAGAACUAGGAUUGAUAUCCUUUUCCUGAUCAUUAGUAGCUUUUUCGCUUCAAUAUUCAAGGGUGUGUUUUCUCCACCCAUGAGAAAAGUUCAUCAUUAUUUGCUUAGCUUGCUUUUGAUCCAUGAAAUCCUGCUGAUUCAACAGGGAUGUGUGAACAAAGCCUAUGUCGCCUUGGCAGCAGCGAGAGUUUUAGAAGAACCCUUCUCAGCUUUGGCUUUUGAUGCACCGCCUUCUUUUUCCCACGAUGCUCUGUCUCACUAUGAUUUCAGGGCAGCACUGCGAGGGCGAACUAGGAGACCUAGGCUUUCUCCACCAUCUCCAGUUAUCAAUACCCCUAUUCAUUUCAAGAGUCCACCACCUCCAUCUCAUCCACCGCCGUCGCCGCCACUAGCACCGGCACCGCCGCCACCAUGUUAAAUUGUUUAUGUAUGUUUGGAACAGUCAGAAAUAUAUAUUUAUGUAUCCAGAAGUGCACCCAUGUAUUGCUUCAAACAAAAUCAUCGGGCUCUUAUUAGUGCUUUGAUCUCCCCGUGUCUUUCUUAAUUUCCAAUAAAAAGUGAAACACUGGCUCCUAGUGUUAAUAAUUAUCACUUCAAUCUGUGUAUCGUUGCAGUAUUUACAUUAGUUAAUUGUAUGAUAUUCCUUUUUUCAAGUUUUGUGGUGGAUUCUGCCCUUUCAUUUCUGAGGAAAAAUUGCGUGACAUAUUCCUGUUUAUGUAUUUUAUUUUUUUAUUCCCUUUUCCUCCUCAUUGAAGUGAUUUUUGUUUUAUUUUUCCCUUAGACUAAUGGACUAGGCCUUGUUACUAGUAUUCUAAAGGGAUUUCGUCAAAUAAUUGAAAAAAGGCUUAUUGAUGAAAAGUCAAAAACUCAAAAGCAUACAUUAACAUUUAAUUACAUUUAAGAUUUUGAUAGUAAUCUCGCAAAUGGGCUGAUAUGGGGACAUUGGGUCUUUUUUUCGUUCAUGGUGUGGGUGGACCGAGGGGAUGCAAAGUGAUGUACCAUCUCCACAGUAUUCAAUUUCCAUUUUGAUACCCUAUUUGAUCAAAUGAGCACAUCUAAAACUUUAACACAUGCCAGUGUCCACUAGAACACCGGAAAAUGAAAUUAAAAGAUUUUGUAACUUGAAAAUGUAGUAAUAACUCGGCAUGAACAAACCCAAUACCUCGUCGACCAAAGAAUUAAUGGGAGCCAAAAAAAAAAAAAGGAUAUUGACAAUUAGAUGCUAUACCACCCAUAAAAGCCGGCAAUAACUAUAAUUUAGUUCCAUUGGUUAUAUAUCUAUGCAAAUUGAUAAAAAGAUGACCUGCGAAAUAUCUUGAGUGGAUCUUCCUCCCACCUGGAAACAAUUUGGGUCCAUCUGAUUCUUUUUUUUUCUUUUUUUCUGACACAGGGGUAUUCGGGCCUUUGGCCGACUAGUCCCCGCGAUCCGAGAGGAGAGGCCCAUUCCCUUCGAACGCGUUACUUCCGGGACUCGAAUCGUGGUCGCCAUAUCCUAAAGAGAAGCAACGAAACCACUCGAGCUACCUUGGGUUGGGCGGGUCCAUCUGAUUCCACCCCCCUUCCCACAUUUUCUUACUUUCUAACCUAUGUGGAUCUUUAGAUUGGAACUAUACGUGAUUUUUAGCAUACAAUUCAAUUUUAGAUAAUAUUUGAAUUCAAAGAAGCAAGCGUUUACUGUUACAGGUAGGUAUAUAUCCUUGCACUUUACCUCUUAUGCUCACUAAUUUAGUCCUGCACCUGCUAAAACUUUUUACUUGUGCAACGAUUCUUAAUAUACAUUAAUUGUCAUCUGAUAAAAGAAGGGGUGGGGAGAAUCAUAGAUGAAAGUGCCUUAACUAGCAUGCCAGAUGCUAUAGCCAACCCAUUGCCGGUGACGCUCAAGUCUCAAGUCUUAACUGUUAAACCACAAUGUAUUUUCUCAUACAGCCAAUGCGGGAUGCUCUGUCAAGUGUCAAUAGUUUCCCUAGUCCAUCGAUGGAAGGAAAGCGUACAAUCGCUCCAUUGAAUAUUCAUGAAGGAAGACACGAUUCAACGAAGCCCUCCAAUAUUGGUUUUUAGUCUUGCAUUCAUAGCUCUCCAAUUUUGUUUCAGAGUGAACAUCGAGUCUAAUGGAUCAACUAGAAGGAACAAAUUAAGAUGCAGCAGAAGCAAGAAUUCUUAAAUCAAAACUUUCAAAAAUAGAAGCGGUCAUGUUUCAACCCUGCAAAAUAAAUUAGAAUAGAAAGGGCUAAAAGGAACCAUCAAUCUUAAGUAUUUGAAGUAAACUGCAAUCUGGAGAGUCUUUUAAAAGUACUUCUUUUAAUGAAACGUUAAGUCUUUUUUUUUUUUUCCUUUUUUUUAAGAGAAGAGUAAAUUUGAAAGAGUCUUUUGAUGCGCAAUUUUCCUUUGCAACGACGUUGAAUUUUACUGGCUUAACAUAUUGAUAUUCAAACUUAGAAAUUUAUGUGUAGGGGAGGCAUUUAUCAGUUAACUAUGUAGGAUGCCACUCAGAUUGUGCCUAGGAGUUGUGAAUUUUCGUUAUUUUAAUAGCAGGGGAGAGGUUGGAUUUAAGAAAUUAGGAGGGGAUAGAAAUUGUGAUCUAAGUUAAGAUUUUACUUUUUUGAUCUCAUCUCAAUUUCAAGAAGUUAUUGUCUUCUUUUUUGUAAAAGAAAAUAUCCUUUUGAGGAAAAGUACACAUGAACAAGGAACUUUGGGUUAUAAUUACGUCCUCAUCUCUUCAAUUGCUCCAAGGAGAGCAAGGUUUAUGUAGGCUGAAGAAUAAUUUCCACAUUUUAUACAAAUUGAUCAAGAAUCAUCCUACCAUCAUUUUAUUAAUUGUGAUCAACCUCAUGUUAGAACACUCCUUUUGACAGAUUCUUCACUGCUUUAAAUGAGGUCAUAUGUGUGGAUCACUUCCCAUUUGACCAAUGAAAACUAAACAGACCAUCCAUUGCAAAAUGCUGACUUCGCAUGGCAAUCUAAAUAGAAGUUUGAACAAGAAGUUUGAACAAGCAAUCUAAAAAUGAAGCUCACAUUUGUGUCUUUGAUCACGUUCCUUUUUUAUUUUUUGAUAUAUGAACAGGGUAUGCUAGAUGGUUACUACUUGGGCAGGGACUCCCCUGCCUUGGAAAUGCUCCCCCGAUGUAUUUCGGUGGCUGCGGUGUCUAUAAGAGAUCCUCUGCUGCUGCCGCCGCCGCCAACCCCAAAGCCCCGUAAUCCUAGUCAUCCUUUUAUAUCUGCUAAACAUUUUUAUGCAUGCAUUUGUCAUCCUAUCACUGGUGGCUUCAAUUGUUCUUUACACGUUUGGUUUUCUCACAAUCACAGGUCAAUUUGAGGUGGUUACCUAUGUAUGAAGUUUAUCACAAACGUACUCACCUAGUACAGUAACAUCCUAGUUAGGUGAUUUGUGGAAUAUUCAUCAUCCUCUCCCUUUGGGUCGAAGCUCGGUGAGUAGGUAGAAGAGUGAGAACUAGACGACGGGGAGGUCACUUCUUGCUUUGGAAUAUCAUUAUCAUUUUCGUGGCUGCUUGUAAUCCAAAUUAAGUCAAUUUGAAUGGUUAGAAUUUAAAACAGAAAUAGAUAGCUUGCGUUAUUGAAGACUUUAUUGAAGAAAAUUGCUCCUCGCUAUGGGAAGAAACAUGUACCCUAAAAUUUCAUAGGAUACUGGGAGACAGUUUUCAAGAUUACAGAGCGUGAUUAUCAUGUCUAAUUAGCACUUCGUCCCAUUUCAUUCCCAAUCAAUUGUUGGAGAGCAAUAGCACAAAGGCAAGCACAGAGUUCAUCUCUUCCAUGUACUACUAUGUUUUUAACAGCUGGACUGGCUAAACUUCAGAUUGCUCAUGACAAUAUCACAAUAAAUGGAACUUACAAAAAUUUUUAUGCUGUUUCCAGAAUGACAAAAAGGUCGGAUGUAAUUUACAAAAUUUUCAGCAACAUGCAUAAUGUGAAUUGAAUUAAACAACAUUUUGGGUUGAAGUUUGGACCAUUAAGGUGUUUAACUAUCCCAGCGUAUCGUCGAAAACACGUAUAGCAUGCAAAUUUAAUGCUGCACCAAUAGAAGUAUGGUCUCAUUAAUUGGAUAUUGACGCUGGUACACAUCUUUGAAAAACAUUAGCGAUUUUUGGCCUUCCUGGAGCCUUCUUCGCGACUUUAACCAACCAAAUAUCAACGGCCAAUAGGCAAAAGCUUGGUUGACGAGCUUCAGUUCAAGAUGAAGACAGCACUGGUGCAUCUGACACUAGUAUGUCUGAUGAUCAUAUAUAUACGAACCGAACUGGCAGGGUUAGAUAAUGGAUACAUAGGCGGUGCUUCUUCUCCAAUUGCAAGGGCAAUAUUCAAAGACUCAGACGAGUCCGUGAGUCGUCACGGUCUCAGGUUUUCCCGAUACGAUAUCGGAACGAUACGAUUUCGAGAUACUUGACUCACCGAGACAUCACCGUGAAGGGUUGAAACGGUCAAAUCACAUCGAAUCACUCCGAAUCAUCUCGAGUCAAUUCGAAUUUUUAUUAUUUUUACUAAUUUUUUAAUUAUUUUUGUUUAUCAUAUUUUUUUACAAUUUUUAGAAUAUUAAAUAUUUCAAACACUCACGUUUACCCGAAAUUGCGACCCAUAUGCCGAGACUGAUGUGCAACGAUUCGAGCAGCGACAGCAACCGAGACUGCGACUUUGAACCAUGGUCAUCACCGGAAUAUGUUGAAUGCGUAAAAUUACCAUCAUCUCUACUUACUUAUGUUGAAUGCGUCAGAGGUUCCUAGCUGCUUCCCACCUACUAUGUUAGACGAAUUAGAAUAUUUAUCAAUCUAACCGCUUACUGGUUUGGGAACCAACCGACAUAUUAUAUGAGGCAACACUUUCUUCUUCUCAAACUCAUAGAACUACGAUCGAUGUCCUUUUCCCGGUGAUUAUUUACUGGCCUUUCCAAUUCAAUACUCAAAAGUUUGUUUUCUCCAUCCAUGAAGAAAGUUUAUCAUUUUCUGCUUAGCUUGCUUUUGAUCCAUGAAAUCUUGUGGAUUCAACAGGGAUGCGUGAACAAAGCCUACGUCGCCUUGGCAGCAGCAAGAGUUUUAGAAGAAUCCUUCUCAGGGUUUCAUGCACCAGCUUCUACUUCUUUUUCCGAUGAUCCUCUGUCUCCCUAUGAUUUCAGGGCAGCACUGCGAACCAGGAGACCUGGGCUUUCGCCACAACCUCCGGUGAUCAAUAACUCUCCUCAUUUUUUCAAGAGUCCACCACCUCGACCACCACUGCCGCCACAAGCACCGCCACCACCACCACCACCAUGUUAAAUUGUUAAUGCAUGUUGGAACAGUCAGAAAUAUAUAUGUAUCCAGUUUCUUUCUCCACCACCUGUUCAGUUGUACUACCAAUUGCUUGGACUAAUGUAAUAGUAGUAUUAGUGUAGCCAUGUACUGCUUCAAAUAAAACCAUCAAGCUUCCAUUACUGCUUUGGUCUCCCCGUGCCUUUCUUAAUUUCCAAUAAAAAUCGAAACACUCACGUCCUCGAGUUAAUUAGCAUUUUAAUCUUAAUUAUUUCCUUGCAGUAUUUGUAUUUGUCAGUUGAUAUUCCUUUUUUCAAGUUUUGUGGCUGAUUUUUCCUUUUCCUUUCCCAGGAAAAAUUGCACGACAUUCCUCAUUAUGGAUUUUGUUCUAUAUUCCUUUUUCCUCCUCAUUAAAGCGACUUCUGUUUUAUUUUUUCCCUUAAACUUAACAGACUAGGCCUUGCUAGUGUUGUAAAAGGAUUUCGUCAAAUAAAAAAAGGAUUAUUGAUGAAAAGUCAAUACUCAAAAGAGCACUUUUACAUUUAAUUAAGAGUACGCUUUUAGUUCCAUUGGUUAAAUAUCCAUGCAAUUUGAUAAAAAAGAUGACCUGUAUAAUAUCUUGAGUGGAAUUGUUCUCCCACCUGAAAACUUGACCCAGUACCUGCACUUCUUGGCCAAUUUAGGUCCAUCCAAUUCCACCCCAUUUUCUUUCUAACCUAUUUGGAUCUUUAGAUUGGAACUGUGUGUGAUGUUUCGAACACAAUCCAUUUUUAGGUAAUAUCCGAAUUCAAAGAAGCAAGCGCAGCUUUAUCAUAUAUUGGUUUUAGGUUUCUUGUUAUACAGUUACUGUCACAGGUAUCAUUGCACUUUACCUCUAAUGCUCAUUGAUUUAAUCCUGCUAAAACAAUGGGUAUGGAAUUGGGAAAUCCUUGCACAUACAAAGUUUCAGCAGGGGAAGGGUUGAAUUCAAAAAACUGAGUGGGAAUUGGAAUUGUAAUCUAAGUUAAGAUAUUACUUUUUGAUCUCGCCUCAAUGAUAAAAAUUUUCAACUGGGGAAGGGUAGUUUUCUUGACAUCUGAAAACAACCGGUAUGGAGAACUGUUAAACCACAAUGUAGUAUUUUCUCAUGCCGCCAAUGCGGGAUGUUCUGUCAAGGAUCAAUAGUUUCCCUAGUCCAUCGAUGAAAGGAAAGCGUACAAUCGCUCCAUUGAAUAUUCAUGAAGGAAGACACGAUUCAACGAAGCCCUCCAAUGGUUCGAGUCUUGCAUUCAUAGCUCUCCAAUUUUGUUUCAGAGUGAACAUCGAGUCUAAUGGAUCAACUAGAAGGAACAAAUUAAGAUGCAGCAGAAGCAAGAAUUCUUAAAUCAAAACUUUCAAAAAUAGAAGCGGUCAUGUUUCAACCCUGCAAAAUAAAUUAGAAUAGAAAGGGCUAAAAGGAACCAUCAGUCUUAAGUAUUUGAAGUAAACUGCAAUCUGGAGAGUCUUUUAAAAGUACUUCUUUUAAUGAAACGUUAAGUCUUUUUUUUUUUUUUCCUUUUUUUUAAGAGAAGAGUAAAUUUGAAAGAGUCUUUUGAUGCGCAAUUUUCCUUUGCAACGACGUUGAAUUUUACUGGCUUAACAUAUUGAUAUUCAAACUUAGAAAUUUAUGUGUAGGGGAGGCAUUUAUCAGUUAACUAUGUAGGAUACCACUCAGAUUGUGCCUAGGAGUUGUGAAUUGCCGUUAUUUUAAUAGCAGGGGAGAGGUUGGAUUUAAGAAAUUAGGAGGGGAUAGAAAUUGUGAUCUAAGUUAAGAUUUUACUUUUUUGAUCUCAUCUCAAUUUCAAGAAGUUAUUUUCUUUUUUGUAAAAGAAAAUAUCCUUUUGAGGAAAAGUACACAUGAACAAGGAACUUUGGGUUAUAAUUACGUCCUCAUCUCUUCAAUUGCUCCAAGGAGAGCAAGGUUUACGUAGGCUGAACAAUAAUUAUACAAAUUGAUCAAGAAUCAUCCUACCAUCAUUUUAUUAAUUGUGAUCAACCUCAUGUUGGAGUUGGCUUUGGAACACUCCUUUUGACAGAUUCUUUACUGGAGGUCAUAUGUGUGGAUCACUUCCCAUUUUACCAAUGAAAACUAAACAGACCAUCCAUUGCCUGUAAAUAUUAAUAAUUAAGAACCCGACCCUGCCGAAUACUGCCUCAAACUAAUGGAGAAUGAGACAUGGCCAAAAUUUUCAGUCAAAGGAACUCAUGACAUCUGGCCAAAGAGUCGUUUGCCAAUUAUGCAAUUACUGUUGUUCAAGGCAAAACGUAGAAUAUAUAACUCCCGAAAGAUUAUUAACAGCAUUAGUUGGAAAAUUCCAUUCCUGUUGCUCAGGGUCUUAGUCGUUUCAUUAAUCAAUAGAUUAUUACUGGAAGUUUGGCGCUUGAAUGUGGCUGCAAAAUGUAAUUUAUGCUUGUAUUAUCUGACCGAAAAAAGAUGACUUUGUUAAGGACGAAGAACUGAUUCUUCAAAAUCACAGGGUCUUUAAAUAACUUUCUCAAGAUAAAUGAAUGAGACCGCAAAAUUUAGCAAUUGAAAAUUUUGAGAUGGAUACCGCUAUCAUGCCUAUAUAUACUCCACCUUUUAACUCAAGCUCCGCAACCAAGUUAAUCACCUCUAACCCCUAUUUAACUCGGUACAUUCUUCCUCUUGCAUAACAGUAGUAAUUGCUCAUUCAAUCGAGCGAACUUACUGUUCACUUUCUAAACCAUCGUCAAACAUGGGAUUCAUGCAGAUUCUCAUUCUGCUUUUUGUAAUCAGUUUUCUUUCGAUAGCUGCUAAAGGAUUGCAUGAUCAGGAAAGCACCGUACAGACUUACAUCGUGCAUGUUGAGUUGCCUACAGAUACUCCGCUUUCCAGUGCAAGUGCAAGCCCAAAUAAUGAUGAUUUAGAAAAUUGGUACAAAUCUUUCCUGCCGACAACCACUAUCUCAAGCUCAUCAAAUGAAGCACCACGGAUGCUUUAUUCCUAUCACAAUGUUUUCAAAGGAUUUGCAGCUAAAUUAUCAGCUGAAGAUGUGAAAGAAAUGGAAAAGAAGCCUGGAUUCUUAUCAGCUAGUCCCCAGGAGAUGCUAUCUCUACAUACGACCCACACUCCUAGUUUCCUGGGGUUGCAUCCGGAUAUGGGCUUCUGGAAGGAUUCAAAUUAUGGAAACGGUGUGAUUAUUGGAGUCAUGGACACCGGAAUAAGGCCAGAUCACCCUUCAUUUAGUGAUGAAGGAAUGCCUCCACCACCUGCUAAAUGGAAGGGAAAGUGUGAAUUUAAUUCCUCAGCUUGCAAUAACAAAUUAAUUGGAGCAAGGAAUUUCAACCAAGAAUUUAGCGAUUCCGUUUUAGAUGAGGUUGGCCACGGUACUCACACAGCAAGCACAGCUGCAGGAAACUUUGUCCAAGGCGCUAAUGUGUUGAGAAAUGCUAAUGGAACUGCUGCCGGUAUCGCACCUCUAGCUCACUUGGCAAUGUACAAAGUAUGCAUAAUUGUUUGCCAAGGUGUUAUAUGCAUAGAUAUUUGCCCUGAAAGUGCCAUAUUGGCUGCUAUGGAUGCGGCUAUCGAUGAUGGGGUGGAUAUUCUUUCCCUGUCUAUUGGAGGAAGUUCGAAACCAUUUUAUACAGACAGCGUCGCACUUGGUGCUUAUACUGCAAUGGAAAAGGGCAUUUUGGUCAGCUGCUCAGCCGGAAAUGGUGGUCCUUCCAAUCAGUCUUUAGAAAAUGAAGCCCCCUGGAUACUUACGGUUGGUGCAAGCACCAUCGACAGAAAAAUAGUAGCUACUGCUUUGCUCGGGAACAAGGAGGAGUUUGAUGGCGAAUCUCUUUAUAAUCCUAAGCAUUUUCUUUCAACUCCGUUUCCCUUGUACUAUGCUGGCUGGAAUGCAAGCGAUAUUUUAUCUGCAUAUUGCUUCUCAUCAGCUCUGAAUAGCUCUAAGGUCCAGGGGAAAAUUGUGGUCUGUGAUCAUGGUGGUGGCAUAUCAGGUGCUCAAAAAGGAGAACAUGUCAAGGCUGCCGGUGGCGUUGGCAUGAUUAUCAUAAAUGGACAGAACGAGGGUUACACCACUUUUGCCGAUGCUCAUGUCCUCCCGGCAACACAUUUAAGUUAUGCUGAUGGAGUUAAGGUCCUGAGCUACAUCAACUCAACAGAAUUACCAAUGGCUGCGAUUUCAUUCAAAGGAACUAUUAUUGGAGACGAUCAUGCUCCAGUGGUUGCUUCAUUUUCUUCCAGAGGUCCUAGCAUGGCAAGCCCUGGAAUUUUGAAGCCGGAUAUAAUUGGCCCUGGUGUAAACAUUCUCGCUGCUUGGCCUCAAUCCGUUGAAAACAACACAAACACCAAGUCCACAUUCAACAUACUCUCCGGCACCUCAAUGUCUUGCCCUCACCUCAGUGGUGUAGCUGCCCUGCUCAAAAGCGCGCACCCUGAUUGGUCUCCAGCUGCAAUUAAGUCCGCCAUCAUGACCACAGCUGAUCUUGUGAACCUUGCCAAGAAUCCAAUCGAGGAUGAAAGGCUUCUUCCUGCAAACAUUUUUGCGAUAGGUUCAGGCCACGUGAAUCCAUCAAGAGCAAACAAUCCAGGUCUAAUCUACGACAUUGUGCCAAAAGAUUACGUGCCUUAUUUGUGUGGUUUGAAUUACACCAGAAGGGGGCUUCUUUACAUUUUACAACGUAGGGUGAAUUGCGCCGAAGAAUCAAGCAUCCCUGAAGCACAAUUGAACUACCCUUCAUUCUCUAUCCAAUUUGGAUCACCUAUUCAACGUUACACAAGGACGGUUACUAAUGUUGGAGAGGCCAAAUCAGUUUACACGGUUAAGGUUGUUCCCCCUGAAGGUGUCGAGGUUAUAGUCAAACCCAAGACUCUGCGUUUCUCCGAGGUGAAACAGAAGGUGACAUAUGAGGUCGUAUUCAGUCAAUUGCCAACUGCAGCUAAUAAUACAGCGUCUCAGGGAUCUAUUACUUGGACUUCCGCAAAGGUCUCCGUCAGGAGUCCAAUUGCUACAAUUAUAGGUGAAAUGCCAAUGUUCUAGAUCAUCCAUGCAUAUAUAAAGACGCGUAACGUAGUAGGUAUCCCAUGCAUAUUCCAAUGGUUGGCGAUUUCCUUUUGCUUACAUUUUGAUGUUUUUGUUUUGGGUGUGAUUUCGAUUUGAAUAAACUUGUGCUUGUUUAUCUUUCGGUUUUCAUCAAAUAAGUCCCAAAUCAAAAUGCAGCCGAUACGAGCCACAGAAAGAACAAGAAGAACUGCACAACUCUUCUUAAACUUUCGUGAAAAUUACAAUUUGGGCCCCUCAAAGUUUUAUCUGAAGUUGAAUAUUGUCCUGCCAAGUUGUUUCAGCACUAACUUACCCGUUCCAUUCUUUAAUUUCUAGUCAAACACUAUUCCGCGAGUGUGUCAGUAUUAUUUGAAAUAAUUACUGUAACACUUUUUGUGAUGUGAUGUAUGUGAGAUAAAAAAUAGUUGGGAAUAUAAAAAGAUGAAUUGGAAAAUAUGUUUAUGAUGCAAGCGAAAUAUUAUUUGGAAUAAUUUAGCAAUCCAAACACACAAAUUUUUACGCGCUUAAAUUGUGUGGACUAAAUUAAUUGCUCUAAGGUCUGAGGACUCAAAACAAAUUCAUUUGCAACACUUUCUCCUAUUUUUUUUUUUACUUUUGAGCAAUUUUUUUUUUCCAAUUUUAACUAUUCAAACAUGUGUAUCACAUCACUUUCUGUCGUCAUCAUUAGAGGUGCUAUCGAACUCGAUCAAAAUUUGUGCUACUCGAGCUCGAGCUUGAACUCAAUCGAGUAAAAAAAUUUGGACUCGAACUCGACUCGAUGAAAUAAAACUAAACUCGAACUCGACUCGUUUGAGCUCGAGUAAGCUAGAGUAAAUAUCAAGCCCAAGCUACUCGAGUUCGAGCUCGAGUUUUGAAAUAAAUCUAUAAUUUUUUAAAAAAUAUAUAAUAUAUAAUAUAAUAUAAAUAAAAUAUGAAAGCUCGAUUAAGCUCGGCGAGUACUCAAGUACUUAUUUCUUGAGUUCGAACUCGACUCGAUUCGCAAGCUACUCGUUAAAAUCGAGCUCGAGUCAAGCUUUUGAUCAAGCUGCUCGUGAGUAGCUUGCGAGCAGCUUGACUUGCUAGCACCCCUAGUCAUCAUGUGUAAAUUGUUCCACAUAUGGCAUGUAUUUUUAUCAAUUCUUUUAAGUGGAGUGCACUUAAUGGUAAGAAGGUAGUAUGUUAAUUAAUUAAUUUUAUCUUUCUUUCUUUCUUUUUUCAGCAAUUCUUUCCAGAUAUGACAUGUAUUUUACUGGUUUGGGAAACAACUGACAUAUGAGAAAAGACAUAGGGAGAUCAAAACAUUAGUUAACCAUUUAAAUCAUUAAUAUUUUAAGGAAUUAGCCAAUAAAAGCUAACGCUUCUCAUUAGAAAUGGCAACAAGUCGGGAUUGGAGCGGGCGACCCCUUUCCCACCCCCUGCCUUGCUGCCUACUAAUUCAUCUCAACCCCACUUCCUGCUCUCCUUCGCGGGUGCCCUCAUGGGGUUAAUAAAAAUGUGUCAUAUAAUUUUAUUAUAAUAGAAUUUUAACAAAUAAUCAAGUAUUAAAAUAUCAACACAUCAUCAAAUUAUUAUCCAUUGUAAUUUCACAAUUGAAACCCAUAAAAACAAUCAAACAAAAGUUGUUUGAAUACAAUUCAACAUGAUGAAAUAAAUACAACUAAAGUAGUCAAAUUUUUACUUUUGACACAAAUAUAAUUACUAAGUCAUUAUUGUGGCUCUUUUAAGAAAAAAGUAUUAUUGCGUUAAGUGUAAUUAGAAAUUUAGUAUAAAUUAUUAGUAAAUUUAGUAUAACUAAUUAAUAAUUUUUAUUGAUAGACAUGUAUAAUUAUUAGUAUAAUUGAUAAUAUCAAUUAUAUUAAAUAUAUUAAUAUUCAUUGUAUAAUAUAUAUAACUAAUAAUAUCAUUAUUAUAAAUUUGUAACUAAUUAAAUUUAUUAAUUUUUUAACGGAUGACGAGGCCCUAUCCCCGCCCCAUUUCUAAAUGAGGGAAAAAAUUUCCUUUUACCCUACCCCACCACCUGCCUCAUUAGCCCCGCAUCGAUCCCAAUUGCCAUACCUACUUAUCAUUGAACCCGUAGAAAAGGUAACACAGCACUUGUCAAUGACAAGACUACUAAUCCUGAAAAAUGUCAUGUCCCAUCAAAAUUGGAAAACAAAUCUACAUUUGAAUGACAUCCAACCCUUUCUUGUUUAGGUUUUUUUUUUUUUAUUGUAAUGAUAACAAUUGUAGAUCCUACUUUACCUUAAUUUAAGAGAAAAGAAAAUCGACGGAAAUUUCAUCAAAAAAAGUCAUUGGAAGGUGAUAAUCACAAUUAAUAGGUAAGUUUAAUGGCCUCCCACCGUCCGAUGGCUUGCUUGCAUACUUCAAAAGUUGACUAUCAAUUACCGCCAAACAUCUUAGCUGGCAUACUAAAUUUCAACUUCCUAGGUCAACCUCCCUCGUGAAGUCAACUAUCCACCCAAAGCUUGUCAUCCAAGAUUUUCUACAUCCCAAUAUACAACAGUAAUCUGAUAGCUAAUGAUUCCAAAAUUACUGCUUCAUCUCCUCAAGUUAACUUGUUCAAUAAUGCAGGCUCUUGGUUACCUACUGUUAGUUUUGCUUAUGCAUGGUAUGGCUGUGGAGAAUAGAAACACAAAUAAUAGUUAUUUGGUGAAGGCAAGAGAGAUAAGAGAAGUCCUAUCUUGUCACAAAGUGGCAUCGUCCUACGCUGUUUACGAGCCAUCCAGGGUAGAACCGGGACAAGGAUGGCCGGCUAGUAAACCUCCUCCCCUGCCCAACCCUCCCACGCACAUGGAUGUUCCUGCUGCACCUUGUAUACGUGUUCUACAAGCGCCUCCGCCUCCCAGUUACUAAAGUUAAUCUUCAGCAGUUAUACAUUGACAUAUUUUUUUCUUUCUGAAAAAUGUCAUUGAACUUAAUUGUAAGAAGAUGUCAUUAGAUUUCGCAUACUCUUCACUAUUCUUUCCCUGUUUUGGGCUUUGCAUUUGGAAGUUUAUGUCCUUCCUCCUUGAAAAGAGUACUUGUGCUCGCAAAAUAGAUGAACAAGCUUUUUAUUCUCCUACUAGUGUAAGUGUGUAACUCUUACUUAAGGUUACUUUAAUUUAUUACUACUGCUUCUUUUUUUCUUUUUUUUCCUUCGGAAAAAAGUCUAAUCUUGAUAAGAAUGUUGAAUCGUAUUGAAAUUAUGGACAUUAGAAUCGACUGUCUUGACUUGAUCUGGUUUACAUUUCAUCACAAGAACACUAGUAGUGAACAAACUCAGAUCUAGUUACUUUGUAAUGUUGAAAAUGCCCUCCCAAUUUAAAUCAUUUAUUCCGAUUUUGCAUCAUUCAGUAGCUUCCCAGGUAAUUGAAUUACGAGCCUUUUUUGUACCAAAAUCUAGAAGUGGAAGUUGGCCAGUAAAAUCUUGCCCCUAAAGAUUAGACCACUAGCUGAAUCCACUUGGGUACUUCAUAUGUCGGGUGUGUUUAUCUCUAAUUUACACAUUUUACUAAUUAAUGCUGGCAAAGUUCUAAACAUAUUAGUGAUAGUAGUUAUAAGAGUUCUCAAGAAACUAAGUCUGUGAUUGUAGCAGUUCUUUGGAUGUCUCAUUUUGCAAAUUGCAAUUCUCUCACGAAUCUGGACCCUGCCUGGAGUUGGAGCGGAAACUCCCUAGAUUUUUCCGGGCAUAUAGAUAUAUAAUACAUCUUUUUUUUGUUGAACGAAAUGCACCACAUAACUACGGCUCAGAUGAACCUCGCUUGAUUGCCUCCUGAUUAAUUUUAUCAAGAAAGUACUAAUUUGAAUGUCUUGAAAGUCAUUGUGUUGAUCCGUCUAGUUGAGAAGUAAUUACGCUUGAAACCAUGUGAUCAUGUUCAAAGUCAACUUCUUUCGUUAUCCUAUUUAAACGCAGCAGUGCUUCAGUUUAACAUGCACUCAAUACUGGAUCAUCAAUUUUAUCGAAGUGAUUAUCACUAAUUAAGCAAGAAAUGAAGCUUUCAUCUUCCUUUCUAAUCGCAGUGGUGUUAUUCCUAGUCGUAGUUAAUCUUGCUUCCAUGUGUGAUGCCAGGCGUAUGUGCCCAACGGAUGCCGAGGGAGAUGAUUGCUACGGUAUACCAAGGAGAAACCCAGUCCCCGGCAACCCUCCUCCACCUCCAGUUGUGGUGCCCGUGCCCGUGCCAAAUAACCCUCCUCCUCCGCCGGCGGUGGUAGUACCAGUGCCCAACAACCCCGGUUAUGUCGGUCGCGUGUACCCAUGCCCCCAGCCGUGGAGACCACCUCAAAACCAUUUUCCUUACCCGAGUCGAUACCCAUACCCAUGCAACAAGAUUGUGACUCUGGAAUCUGGAUGGUUUCCUUUAUCCGAGUCUUAUCCAAAGUAUUUCCCAUUAUCGUUAUGUGAGUUUCCUCUUAUUAAUUAGCAGCCAGAUAAUAAAUAACGGCGCAUGUGCAGCCGUACGAACGUUUGGCAGAAUAAAGAAAACCCGGGAAAAAAGAAGCCCAAAAAAAAAAAAAAAAAACUGCCCAAAUAAAGAGUAGUUUUAUGUAUGCUGUGAUCUUGGUUUGUCUGGUCAAUGACGUGUAGUAUGUAAUGGCUUUGAAUUUAAUCUUUGUUUCCUGAUGAUUUGUUAGGAUCUGGUUUUUGCACGAAUAAUUAAGCUUUGUCCACCCUCCCUCAAGAAAUCCAGCAAUACGACCAUGAUAUGCUACAGAAACACCGUAGGCCAAAUGGUUUUGGAAAUCUAUGCAAUGUCACGCAGUAUUCAACUGACAAAAUUAAUGAACUAUAAGUUAUGCAAUGUCG